GACGAACGCUGGCGGCGUGCUUAACACAUGCAAGUCGAACGGAAAGGCCCUGCUUUUGUGGGGUGCUCGAGUGGCGAACGGGUGAGUAACACGUGAGUAACCUGCCCUUGACUUUGGGAUAACUUCAGGAAACUGGGGCUAAUACCGGAUAGGAGCUCCUGCUGCAUGGUGGGGGUUGGAAAGUUUCGGCGGUUGGGGAUGGACUCGCGGCUUAUCAGCUUGUUGGUGGGGUAGUGGCUUACCAAGGCUUUGACGGGUAGCCGGCCUGACAGGGUGACCGGCCACAUUGGGACUGAGAUACGGCCCAGGCUCCUACGGGAGGCAGCAGUGGGGAAUAUUGCACAAUGGGCGGAAGCCUGAUGCAGCAACGCCGCGUGCGGGAUGACGGCCUUCGGGUUGUAAACCGCUUUCGCCUGUGACGAAGCGUGAGUGACGGUAAUGGGUAAAGAAGCACCGGCUAACUACGUG
This 468-nucleotide ribosomal RNA is filed under the name uncultured bacterium. RNAcentral's name for it is "partial 16S ribosomal RNA". It matches the Rfam family "Bacterial small subunit ribosomal RNA", at positions 28 to 507 of the family's 1533-position model. The record is from RNAcentral.